GUGCUCGUUUUGGCAGCACAUACACCAAAACUGGAACGAUACAGAGAAGAUUCGCAUAGCCCCCGGGGCAAAGACAUGUGAGUAACCAGACCAGAUCAGUUCUU
Ailuropoda melanoleuca (giant panda) is the source of this 104-nucleotide small nuclear RNA. The record is from Ensembl. NCBI's taxonomy places the organism in Eukaryota, Metazoa, Chordata, Mammalia, Carnivora, Ursidae.